Molecule: ribosomal RNA, 701 nt
Filed under: Salmonella enterica subsp. enterica serovar Enteritidis
Lineage: Bacteria; Pseudomonadati; Pseudomonadota; Gammaproteobacteria; Enterobacterales; Enterobacteriaceae
Description: partial 23S ribosomal RNA
Source: RNAcentral
AGCGGCGAGCGAACGGGGAGGAGCCCAGAGCCUGAAUCAGCAUGUGUGUUAGUGGAAGCGUCUGGAAAGGCGCGCGAUACAGGGUGACAGCCCCGUACACAAAAGCGCAUGUGCUGUGAGCUCGAUGAGUAGGGCGGGACACGUGGUAUCCUGUCUGAAUAUGGGGGGACCAUCCUCCAAGGCUAAAUACUCCUGACUGACCGAUAGUGAACCAGUACCGUGAGGGAAAGGCGAAAAGAACCCCGGCGAGGGGAGUGAAAAAGAACCUGAAACCGUGUACGUACAAGCAGUGGGAGCACCCUUUGGGUGUGACUGCGUACCUUUUGUAUAAUGGGUCAGCGACUUAUAUUCUGUAGCAAGGUUAACCGAAUAGGGGAGCCGGAGGGAAACCGAGUCUUAAYYGGGCGUUAAGUUGCAGGGUAUAGACCCGAAACCCGGUGAUCUAGCCAUGGGCAGGUUGAAGGUUGGGUAACACUAACUGGAGGACCGAACCGACUAAUGUUGAAAAAUUAGCGGAUGACCUGUGGCUGGGGGUGAAAGGCCAAUCAAACCGGGAGAUAGCUGGUUCUCCCCGAAAGCUAUUUAGGUAGCGCCUCGUGAAUUCAUCUCCGGGGGUAGAGCACUGUUUCGGCUAGGGGGCCAUCCCGGCUUACCAACCCGAUGCAAACUGCGAAUACCGGAGAAUGUUAUCACGGGAGACA